GGAGAGGUGCCAGAGAGGCCGAUUGGGCUUGACUCGAAAUCAAGUGUACCUUCACCGGUACCGUGGGUUCGAAUCCCACCCUCUCCGCCA
RNAcentral lists this transfer RNA (90 nucleotides) under Parachitinimonas caeni. RNAcentral's name for it is "tRNA-Ser". It matches the Rfam family "tRNA". From Rfam's summary of the family: Transfer RNA (tRNA) molecules are approximately 80 nucleotides in length. Their secondary structure includes four short double-helical elements and three loops (D, anti-codon, and T loops). Further hydrogen bonds mediate the characteristic L-shaped molecular structure. tRNAs have two regions of fundamental functional importance: the anti-codon, which is responsible for specific mRNA codon recognition, and the 3' end, to which the tRNAs corresponding amino acid is attached (by aminoacyl-tRNA synthetases). tRNAs cope with the degeneracy of the genetic code in two manners: having more than one tRNA (with a specific anti-codon) for a particular amino acid; and 'wobble' base-pairing, i.e. permitting non-standard base-pairing at the 3rd anti-codon position. Lineage: Bacteria; Pseudomonadati; Pseudomonadota; Betaproteobacteria; Neisseriales; Chitinibacteraceae. The record is from RNAcentral.